This 590-nucleotide ribosomal RNA is filed under the name Carabus problematicus. Its description in RNAcentral is "LSU rRNA". It matches the Rfam family "Bacterial large subunit ribosomal RNA", at positions 1921 to 2748 of the family's 2925-position model. Lineage: Eukaryota; Metazoa; Arthropoda; Insecta; Coleoptera; Carabidae. The record is from RNAcentral.
UUUUAAAUGGCCGCAGUAUUUUGACUGUGCAAAGGUAGCAUAAUCAUUAGUUUUUUAAUUAAAAGCUUGUAUGAAAGGCUGGACGAGGUAAAAUCUGUCUCUAUUUAAAUUAUAGUAGAAUUUAACUUUUAAGUUAAAAGGCUUAAAUAUUAUUAAAAGACGAGAAGACCCUAUAGAUCUUUAUAAUUUGUUAAAUUAAAUUAAUUUAGAAAUAUUAACGUUUUAUUUAAUUAAAUUAUUUUAUUGGGGUAAUAAAAAGAUUGAAUUAAUUCUUUUUUAAAAUAAACAUUAAUUUAUGAAUAUUAAUGAUCCAGUUUUACUGAUUAUAAGAUUAAGUUACCUUAGGGAUAACAGCGUAAUUUUUUUAGAGAGUUCAUAUCGAUAAAAAAGUUUGCGACCUCGAUGUUGGAUUAAAGAUUAUUUUAGGUGUAGAAGCUUAAUAAUUUUGGUCUGUUCGACCAUUAAAUCUUUACAUGAUCUGAGUUCAGACCGGCGUAAGCCAGGUCGGUUUCUAUCUUUAAUAAAACAAAAUAUUUUAGUACGAAAGGACCAAAUAUUUGAUAUAUUUAUAUUUAAUUUAUUGAAUAUUA